RNAcentral lists this ribosomal RNA (991 nucleotides) under uncultured bacterium BURTON-29. RNAcentral describes it as "bacterial SSU rRNA". It matches the Rfam family "Bacterial small subunit ribosomal RNA", at positions 509 to 1504 of the family's 1533-position model. Lineage: Bacteria; Pseudomonadati; Verrucomicrobiota. The record is from RNAcentral.
CAGCAGCCGCGGUAAUACGGAGGGAGCAAGUGUUAUCCGGAAUCACUGGGCGUAAAGCGUCUGUAGGUGGUUGAACAAGUCAACUGUUAAAUCUUGAGGCUCAACUUCAAAAUCGCAGUCGAAACUGUUUGACUAGAGUAUAGUAGGGGUAAAGGGAAUUUCCAGUGGAGCGGUGAAAUGCGUAGAUAUCAAGAGGAAGACCAAUGGCGAAGGCAGCCUGCUGGACAUUUACUGACGCUGAGGUACGAAGGCUAGGGUAGCGAAAGGGAUUAGAUACCCCUGUAGUCCUAGCAGUAAACGGUGCGCGCUUGGUGUAGGAGGACUCGACCCCUUCUGUGCCGGAGCUAACGCGUUAAGCGCGCCGCCUGGGGAGUACGGUCGCAAGACUAAAACUCAAAGAAAUUGACGGGGACCCGCACAAGCGGUGGAGUAUGUGGCUUAAUUCGAUGCCACGCGAAGAACCUUACCAAGGCUUGACAUGUAUUGCUAGCACGUGAAAGGUGGACCUUUCGGGACCUUACACAGUGCUGCAUGGCCGUCGUCAGCUCGUGUCGUGAGAUGUUUGGUUAAGUCCAGCAACGAGCGCAACCCCUGGAAUAGUUGCCAGCACGUAAUGGUGGGACUCUAUUCAGACUGCCCAGGUCAACUGGGAGGAAGGUGGGGAUGACGUCAGGUCAGUAUGGCCCUUACGCCUUGGGCUGCACACGUACUACAAUGCUCAGUACAAUGAGAACCGAGACCGCGAGGUGGAGGAAAUCUGCAAAACUGAGCCCAGUUCGGAUUGGAGGCUGCAACUCGCCUCCAUGAAGUUGGAAUCGCUAGUAAUGGCACAUCAGCUACGGUGCCGUGAAUACGUUCCCGGGUCUUGUACACACCGCCCGUCACAUCAUGGAAGCUGAUCGCACCCGAAGUAUCUGCGCUAACUAUUUAUAGAAGCAAGGUCCUAAGGUGUAGUUGGUAACUGGGAUGAAGUCGUAACAAGGUAACCGUA